CAGAGAGACAGUCCACCCUAGAAAAACUACAACACGAGAGGACACAUCACCAGUCCAGUUCAAAACCUCUUACCAAACGAAAAUGCAAGACAAAUCCUAAGUUUGUUGAAGAGGAGACCAGUGAUCAUGGACCAUCUAGCCCUAAAAAGCGGCAAACUGAUGGAAAUUUGGACAGGGAGAUUUUGGAAAAAAUUAAAUUACACCAUGGACCUCGAUUAUCUUCUGCCACAAAUUCAGUUGCUUCACCUACCUCACCAUCUUCUGCCUUGCCGCAUUCUCCACCACCGGUUUCUAACUGUCCACCAGCAUCACCCUCAGCUCCACCUUCACCUGCCUCAUCAUCACCUGGUUCACUUUCACCUACCUCACCUUCUCCUGAUCCUCGAUCCAUCGUUGCACAAUUAAAGGCAGAGAAUGAAGCCCUCAAAAUUGAAUUAGAAAACAUUAAAACAAAUGUUGUCAGUUAAAUGCCAAAACUUCUUAUGACGAUGGGCAAGCUGGAAAAAUGGCUUGACGAGAAAGAGCAGACCCCACAGGAACUGCUAUCACCUUCCAG
This is a long non-coding RNA of Esox lucius (northern pike), 556 nucleotides long. Lineage: Eukaryota; Metazoa; Chordata; Actinopteri; Esociformes; Esocidae. The record is from Ensembl.